UUGCCAGGUCAAUAUUAGGUUUCUGAUGAGU
This 31-nucleotide non-coding RNA is filed under the name Rattus norvegicus (Norway rat). Lineage: Eukaryota; Metazoa; Chordata; Mammalia; Rodentia; Muridae. The record is from RNAcentral.